GGAUCGCCUACCUUAUGUGAAUCUCCGCCAAAUGUGUUGGUGCGUGUAUUUCCUUUAUCACUGAAUUACAUUAUGAUGUGAUGGUCAAUGAUUAUUUUGUAAGAGUAGUGGACAGAAGAGAUUUCUGAGAAAUUUUAACAAUGAGGCUUUUGUAUUUAAUUCUUAAGAUUAGUUGAUUUCCUUAACCGCACUAACGGUGAUGCCUUCACAGGUUUUCGGGUAACCCAGUUUCCUGAAGGAGGUGAGUCUAAAUCCAGUUUAAGCAGCUGGAGGCAGAUUUUCCCCAAGGUGUUUCCUGUAGUUUUUAAAAGUUUCAUUUCCACAAGUUAAACCCUGAAAAAUAUUUAACUUUAGGAAUAUAUAGCUGAUUUCAGUACAGUCUGGAUGCAUGAAGUGAGCACUAUCUGUUGGUACAUUUUUAAGGCUGUAAUUAAAUCUUUAGUAGUCAACUGGUGUACAAAUACUGAUUCAAGCCAUUUAUAGGAAGGUAUCUUGAGAUCAUUAAUGAUCAUAACCUUAUAAGUAAUUGUGCAUUAUUUAAAAAGGUGUCAUUUAUUACAAACACUAUGUUAUGCAUUUCCCAUUUUACUAAAGCAAAUAAAUGAGUGGUCUUAUCAGAUUUUGCUGUGUAAAAAAAGAAAAUAAAAAAUGCUUAAUGCAAAUUGAAAACAUGCAGAUGCAUUGUAUGAUCUGAUUUAAGUAAGGGAAACUGAUUGUGAUUUGAGUAGAAGUGAAGUGAUUAACUUAAGCUAUUGAAAUGUAUUAAUGGUUUAUCAUUACCUGGAGCAUAGAGAAUUAAACAUGCCUGACAGCACACCAGCAUGAACAAUUCUACCAAAAUUGUAUUAAGAGUAAAUGUCUUGCAUUUAUUCUAAAAUAUUUUUCGUCUCAAUAUACUCUAUCCAGACCUCAGAAGGUUUUUAGUUUCACCUGGUUUAAUUUUGCAAAAAUCUUUAAAAAGCUAUUGCUGUCCCCUUACUAAUUGCAAAAAUCGAGAUUAAUGGUUUAGUUGCAGCCCUAAAUUGAAGGUAUUGCCUGAGCCUUUGCCUCACCAGCUCCUGUUCUGUGUACAUGGAGUUGGUGAAAUUGUGCCAGAAACGCUGGUGUCAUUACAUCAAAUGAAGCACACAUGGGAAACAAUCUUGCCUCCUAAUGCUGUUAACUUUGUGCCACAAUGAUGACAAUUAUUUGCUACUCUCGACUAGAUGGAUGACGAUAUAGCAACCACCAAUAAUCACAUUCUGAGGCACAUGGGAGGGCGGGGUGUACUACAUUUUAUUCAGAUUCUUUUAUUUAAAUAUUGCUCUAUUCAUCUUUCAGGUACCACCACCAAUCUGGAUGACAUGCAGGUUCUUUGCCUCUCCUGCCUUCUGAUCCAGGUCUUGGAUCAGCUAUAGGAACCAGAGUCUGGAGCCAGUGGAUGAAGAAAUGGACAUCUCCCUGUGACUCCCUGUAGCUCUGCAGAGCCUCUGGCGUGUGGCUCUUCCUGAAGAACUGAAGACAUUUGGAAACAUGGUUGACCAAUUCUGAACUGCAACUUGAAAUUAAGAACUCCAGUUUUGGAAAUCAUCUCAUGUGAAGGUGCAGAGAUGAAAGUGGGAGACCAUGGAGUAUGGUGACCUGGAUGGACCGAGUUGGUGGAGUUUCAAGCAGUGAUGGACUGGCAUAACAAUUUACAAUAAAUCUAUACUACUAAAAAAAAAAUUAAAGGAACAUUUU
This is a long non-coding RNA of Cyprinodon variegatus (sheepshead minnow), 1719 nucleotides long. RefSeq lists it as uncharacterized. The record is from RefSeq and is a predicted model, not a curated record. NCBI's taxonomy places the organism in Eukaryota, Metazoa, Chordata, Actinopteri, Cyprinodontiformes, Cyprinodontidae. The transcript is spliced from 8 exons.